RNAcentral lists this ribosomal RNA (496 nucleotides) under uncultured bacterium. RNAcentral's name for it is "partial 16S ribosomal RNA". It matches the Rfam family "Bacterial small subunit ribosomal RNA", at positions 28 to 507 of the family's 1533-position model. The record is from RNAcentral.
GACGAACGCUGGCGGCGUGCCUAAUACAUGCAAGUUGAGCGCUGAAGGUUGGUACUUGUACCAACUGGAUGAGCAGCGAACGGGUGAGUAACGCGUGGGGAAUCUGCCUUUGAGCGGGGGACAACAUUUGGAAACGAAUGCUAAUACCGCAUAAAAACUUUAAACACAAGUUUUAAGUUUGAAAGAUGCAAUUGCAUCACUCAAAGAUGAUCCCGCGUUGUAUUAGCUAGUGGUGAGGUAAAGGCUCACCAAGGCGAUGAUACAUAGCCGACCUGAGAGGGUGAUCGGCCACAUUGGGACUGAGACACGGCCCAAACUCCUACGGGAGGCAGCAGUAGGGAAUCUUCGGCAAUGGACGAAAGUCUGACCGAGCAACGCCGCGUGAGUGAAGAAGGUUUUCGGAUCGUAAAACUCUGUUGGUAGAGAAAAACGUUGGUGAGAGUGGAAAGCUCAUCAAGUGACGGUAACUACCCAGAAAGGGACGGCUAACUACGUG